CGGAUGUAGCCAAGUGGAUCAAGGCAGUGGAUUGUGAAUCCACCAUGCGCGAC
This 53-nucleotide transfer RNA is filed under the name Moringa oleifera (horseradish tree). RNAcentral's name for it is "partial tRNA-His". Lineage: Eukaryota; Viridiplantae; Streptophyta; Magnoliopsida; Brassicales; Moringaceae. The record is from RNAcentral.